AUGGGGGCCUUGGUGGCACUUUCUCAUCCUUUCCCUGUGCAGCACCUUGCUGGUAUCUUAGUCUCAGCUUUGGGCUUAUCCUGGAAGGGGGAGUGUGAAGUUCCUUUGGCACACAGGGCCCGUUCCCACCUUCCUGGAAAGGAAUUGGAUGAAUCUCGGUCCCCACAAGAGUCAUACAUGUUAUCUUGGCCCUGCCCAUCCGUUUGGGCAUGGGCCACUUCCUUGUUGAUUCCCUCCAGCAGGUCAGCCCUUGAGGACAGGGGAAUCCGUGUGCCCAACACCCAGGCCACCUCUGGCCCAUGGCGGGUGCUCACCCAUGGCUGCUCACGCUCCCUCCUUCAAUCCAGAACUGUGGGAGCCUGCUUCGUGUACGUUGGACACCCACCGGAGCGGUCGGGGCCCGGGUCCCCACUGCAGCUGUGCCUGGCCCCGGCAUCCAGCACCCCACCACAGGCCUGCCGGCUCCAGGGUCCCCACGCUGGCCGGGUUGGUCCAGAAGGCCCUGCUGUGACCCCUGAAGGAAUGACCGAGUGAAGCGGUGGGAGAGUCCACACAGCACAGAGGCCCAGAUGCUCCAGGACGGAGUGGCGUCCACGCAAGUGACCCAGCCCUCCCGCAGUCAGGUACAUUUAGUUUUCCAGCCUUGGUUCCCGAAGUCCCUGGCUGAGCCCAGAGAGAAGGAAGGCCGGCACUG
Molecule: long non-coding RNA, 694 nt
Filed under: Felis catus (domestic cat)
Lineage: Eukaryota; Metazoa; Chordata; Mammalia; Carnivora; Felidae
Description: lncRNA (ENSFCAG00000046910.1)
Source: RNAcentral